This 3033-nucleotide long non-coding RNA is filed under the name Sus scrofa (pig). Its description in RNAcentral is "lncRNA (ENSSSCG00030047322.1)". The record is from RNAcentral. Lineage: Eukaryota; Metazoa; Chordata; Mammalia; Artiodactyla; Suidae.
GGCUGCACCCACAGCAUACGGAGAUUCCCAGGCUAGGGGUGGAAUCAGAGCUAAAGCUGCCAGCCUAUGCCACAGCCACAGCAACACCAGAUCUGAGCCACAUCCGUGACCGACACCACAGCUCAUGGCAAUGCUGUAUCCUUAACCCACUGAGUGAGGCCAGGGAUCAAACCCACAAACUCAUGGUCCCAAUCAGAUUCAUUUCCACUGUGCCACAACAAGAACUCCGGUAAGGCUAUAUAUUUCUGACUUCAUUUCUACAUCCACAUUCUCUACAGGGGAAAGAUCUCCCCAGCCAAUGAAUCUACCAACAACCACUGCCAAUUACCAAAGUGCUUACUUUGAUAAGCAUAAUGGAACUUUGAAAUCCUCUGAGCAGGGAAUAUCACUCAGAGACAUUUAGUCCUUAUUCUGAUAAGAUAAUGCUAUUUUCCAGUUAUUCAAUGAUUGUGCCUGAUGGAGCCAUUUCACCUUCCACAGAUUUCCAUGCUUUAGUCUACCACUGUGUCAGCACAUAUAGAACAUAUUUCUCAACCUGUGCUGAACAUUUAAAAAUUACAAUUUAGUAUCAUCUCUAGAUCAAUGCCAUGACACAAAAUGUACAGCUAAUCCCCAAGCACCACUGACUGAUAAAUCACUUCUGUUUGAUUUUCCAAGAUCUUUUUAGAGUUAGAGUGAACAGAGGUACCAGAAAUUCCAGAAAUUUUCAUACCAUACAAAAUAAUUAAACUUCCAAAUACAGUUCCCAACUUGUUCCCAGUGCAUGCACAAACCAUACUUCUUAAAAUAAUGUAAAAUGCAGAUUACUCAAAGCUAGAUUCUUUUAGGCUGCAGUUCACAUUUUCUAUGUAACUGAAAAGGGGGAUGUGGUAAUUGCUCUGGCUUAAGAUAAUUUAUCUUGUUAUUUGUGCUGGAUAUGGUUAAAGAUCAGGGUUCUUGUCCUCAGAAAUCAAAGCCAGUAUUUGCUAUGGGUUGAAAAUUAACUCUUUUAAGCCUGUGUAGAACAUCACUGCAUAGCACUGUGUGAGUUCAUGCCCCUCACAGGCAUGACUAGACCUCACUAAGGAUAACCUCGAUUCAUUCAUUCAAAAACCAUUGCUGUUGUCCACACAAAAUAGCCCCUUUCCAUUUGCUCCUUUCCCUGUGGUCCCAAAUGCUUCAAUAAAAGUAAUCUGGCCAGUACUGCACUGCCAGUGCUUCAAGAGGUUGUUGGGGCGACUAGUGUUGCCCUAGACUGUGACCCAGUGUUGUGCAAGUGGAGGAUGCUGGGUGCAACUCUACUCCUCCUGUGAGAGUGAUGUUCACUCUCUUCCCCUCCCUCCAACUCUCUCCCAAGAAUCUUCUUUUGUAUCCUUCUCAUGGUAGCACACUGAACACAUCAAGAGGAGGUUUAUAUUAACACACUUAGAAAGAUUAGACAAGAACUUUGCAAAAAUUGGGGUAAAAACAUAUAACAUAAAAUUUACCAUUAAAAAAGGUCAGUGGCUUGAAGUACAUCCACAAUGUUGUGCAACUGUCACCACCGUUCACCUCCAAAACUUCCAUUAUCUCAAACUGAAACUCUGUAUAUCUUAAACAGUAACUCCCAUUUCUCCCUCCUCCCAGUACCUAGUUAACGAUUAUUCUACUUGCUGUUACUGUACAUUUGGUUAUUCUAGGUCCCCCAUAUAGGUCAAAUCAUAAAAUAUUUGUUUGUGUUUGGCUUAUUUCAUUGAGCAUAAUGUCCUCAAAUCUCAUCUAUGUUGUGAAAUGUGUCAGAAUUUCAUUUUUAAAAUAACAUUAAAUAUUAAAUGAAUAAUAUUCCACUGAAUGUAUUAUGUUUACCCAUUUUGUUUAUCCAUGCAUCCUUGCAUGGGCAUUUGGGUUAUUUCUAUAUUUUGGCUAUUGUGAAUAAUGCUGCUAUGAAAAUGAGUAUACAAAUGUUUGUUCAAGUCCCUGCUUUCAAUUCUACUGAAUAUAUACCCACAAGUGUUAGAUCAUAUGGUAACUUUAUGUUUAAUUCUUGAGAAACUGCCAUACAGUUUUCCACAGUGGCUAUACCAUUCAUAUCCUGGCCAGCAAUGCAAAAGGAUUAGAAUUUCUCCCUAUCCUCAGGAACAUUUGGGAUUCUGUGCAUUUAAAAAAUAUCAGCUGGAGUUCCCGUUGUGGCGCAGCAGAAACAAAUCUGACUAGGAACCAUGAGGUUGCAGGUUCUAUCCCUGGCCUCACUCAGUGGGUUAAGGAUCCGACAUUGCCAUGAGCUGUGGUGUAGGUCACAGAUGUGGCUCGGAUCCGGCAUUGCUGUGGCUCUGGUGUAGGCUGGUGGCUACGGCUCUGAUUAGACACCUAGCCUGGGAAUCUCCAUAUAUGCCGCGGGUGUGGCCCUAAAAGGACAGAAGACAAGAUAAAUAAAUAAACAAAUAAAAUUUUUAAAAUGAAAAAUAUUAGCCACCAGGAGUUUCCUUUGUGGUUCAGCGGGUUAAGAACACUACAAGUAUCCAUGAGGAUGCCAGUUCAAUCCCUGGACUUGCUCAGUGGGUUAAGGAUCUGGUGUUGUCAGUAGCUGUGGUAUAGGUGGCAGACGCUGCUCAGAUCUGGCGUUGCUGAGGCUGUCANAAAAAAAAAAAAAAAAAGCUAUCAUAGUGUGUAUGAGAUAGUGUCUCAUUUUAGCUUGGAUUUGCACCCUAAUGACCAUUGGUUGAUAUAGAGCAUCUUCUCCUGUGUUCUUUGUUUAUUGGCCUCUUUUUUGGAAUGUCAGUUCAAGUCCUUGCCCGUUUUUUUUAAACAGGCUUUUUUGUUUUGGUAUUGUUAAGAGUUCUUCAGAUGUUUUGGAUAUUCAUCUCUUACCAAAUAUAUUUGUAAAUAUAUUCUCCCAUCCUAUGGACUAUACUUCCCUUUGUUGAUAGUGUCCUUUGUUUUGGAUAGGGUCCUUUGAUGCUCCAAAGUUUUAACUUUUGGUGUAGUGUAAUGUAUCUACCUUAUGGUUUGUUGCUUAUGCUUUUAGUGUCAUUGCUAAAAAAAUCAUCACCAACUCCAGUGUCAUAAAAUCUUUCC